Molecule: ribosomal RNA, 254 nt
Filed under: uncultured bacterium
Lineage: Bacteria
Description: partial 16S ribosomal RNA
Rfam family: Bacterial small subunit ribosomal RNA
Source: RNAcentral
UACGAAGGGUGCAAGCGUUACUCGGAAUUACUGGGCGUAAAGGGCUCGUAGGCGGCCAACUAAGUCAGACGUGAAAUCCCUCGGCUUAACCGGGGAACUGCGUCUGAUACUGGAUGGCUUGAGAUUGGGAGAGGGAUGCGGAAUUCCAGGUGUAGCAGUGAAAUGCGUAGAUAUCUGGAGGAAUACCGGUGGCGAAGGCGGCAUCCUGGACCGACAUUGACGCUGAGGAGCGAAAGCUAGGGGAGCAAACGGGG